GACGAACGCUGGCGGCGUGCUUAACACAUGCAAGUCGAACGGAAAGGCCCUGCUUUUGUGGGGUGCUCGAGUGGCGAACGGGUGAGUAACACGUGAGUAACCUGCCCUUGACUUUGGGAUAACUUCAGGAAACUGGGGCUAAUACCGGAUAGGAGCUCCUGCUGCAUGGUGGGGGUUGGAAAGUUUCGGCGGUUGGGGAUGGACUUGCGGCUUAUCAGCUUGUUGGUGGGGUAGUGGCUUACCAAGGCUUUGACGGGUAGCCGGCCUGAGAGGGUGACCGGCCACAUUGGGACUGAGAUACAGCCCAGACUCCUACGGGAGGCAGCAGUGGGGAAUAUUGCACAAUGGGCGGAAGCCUGAUGCAGCAACGCCGCGUGCGGGAUGACGGCCUUCGGGUUGUAAACCGCUUUCGCCUGUGACGAAGCGUGAGUGACGGUAAUGGGUAAAGAAGCACCGGCUAACUACGUG
RNAcentral lists this ribosomal RNA (468 nucleotides) under uncultured bacterium. RNAcentral describes it as "partial 16S ribosomal RNA". It matches the Rfam family "Bacterial small subunit ribosomal RNA", at positions 28 to 507 of the family's 1533-position model. The record is from RNAcentral.